GUGGUCAUCGUCCAGUGGCAGGACGCCUGAGUGUGGAUCAGGAAACACCAGUUCGACCCUGGUUGAUCACCCCA
RNAcentral lists this transfer RNA (74 nucleotides) under Deinococcus ficus. RNAcentral describes it as "tRNA-His". It matches the Rfam family "tRNA". From Rfam's summary of the family: Transfer RNA (tRNA) molecules are approximately 80 nucleotides in length. Their secondary structure includes four short double-helical elements and three loops (D, anti-codon, and T loops). Further hydrogen bonds mediate the characteristic L-shaped molecular structure. tRNAs have two regions of fundamental functional importance: the anti-codon, which is responsible for specific mRNA codon recognition, and the 3' end, to which the tRNAs corresponding amino acid is attached (by aminoacyl-tRNA synthetases). tRNAs cope with the degeneracy of the genetic code in two manners: having more than one tRNA (with a specific anti-codon) for a particular amino acid; and 'wobble' base-pairing, i.e. permitting non-standard base-pairing at the 3rd anti-codon position. Lineage: Bacteria; Thermotogati; Deinococcota; Deinococci; Deinococcales; Deinococcaceae. The record is from RNAcentral.